UCCUGGUUUCCCAGGCAGUCUCACCAGAGUGCCCCUAAAAGGGUAGCAACUGGCGACAGGAGUUGCGCUCGUUAAAGGACUUAACCUAACAUCUCACGACACGAGCUGACGACAGCCAUGCAGCACCUGUGCAGAUGCUCAGGAUUGCUCCUGAGAAAUCAUGUUUCCACAAUAGUCAUAAGCAUGUCAAGCCCAGGUAAGGUUUCUCGCGUAGUGUCGAAUUAAACCACAUGUUCCACCGCUUGUGCGGGCCCCCGUCAAUUUCUUUGAGUUUUAAUCUUGCGACCGUACUCUUCAGGUGGAUCACUUAACGCGUUAGCUGCGACACCCAGGCAAAGCCCAAACGUCUAGUGAUCAUCGUUUACUGCAUGGACUAC
This 377-nucleotide unclassified non-coding RNA is filed under the name uncultured bacterium. RNAcentral's name for it is "contains 16S-23S intergenic spacer region". The record is from RNAcentral.